RNAcentral lists this transfer RNA (71 nucleotides) under Camelus bactrianus (Bactrian camel). It matches the Rfam family "tRNA". Rfam says of the family: Transfer RNA (tRNA) molecules are approximately 80 nucleotides in length. Their secondary structure includes four short double-helical elements and three loops (D, anti-codon, and T loops). RNAcentral also lists the same sequence under 2 other names. The record is from Rfam by way of RNAcentral. Lineage: Eukaryota; Metazoa; Chordata; Mammalia; Artiodactyla; Camelidae.
GAGACUAUAGCUCAGCGGUAGAGUGCCUGCUUAGCAUGCAUGAGGCAUGGGUUCAAUCCCCAGUACUUCCA